RNAcentral lists this ribosomal RNA (253 nucleotides) under uncultured bacterium. RNAcentral describes it as "partial 16S ribosomal RNA". It matches the Rfam family "Bacterial small subunit ribosomal RNA", at positions 524 to 776 of the family's 1533-position model. The record is from RNAcentral.
GACGAGCCGAGCGAACGUUAUUCGGAAUCACUGGGCUUAAAGGGCGCGUAGGCGGGCCAUCAAGUCAGGGGUGAAAGCCCCCAGCUCAACUGGGGAAGUGCCUCUGAUACUGGUGGCCUCGAGGGAGGUAGGGGCGUGCGGAACUUCCGGUGGAGCGGUGAAAUGCGUAGAUAUCGGAAGGAACACCGGUGGCGAAAGCGGCGCGCUGGACCUCUUCUGACGCUGAGGCGCGAAAGCCAGGGGAGCGAACGGG